Molecule: ribosomal RNA, 800 nt
Filed under: uncultured alveolate
Lineage: Eukaryota
Description: bacterial SSU rRNA
Rfam family: Eukaryotic small subunit ribosomal RNA
Source: RNAcentral
GAUUAAGCCAUGCAUGUCUAAGUAUAAGCCCUUGUACGGCGAAACUGCGAAUGGCUCAUUAAAACAGUUAUCGUUUAUUUGAUAAUCACUUACUACAUGGAUAACUGUAGUAAUUCUAGAGCUAAUACAUGCGUCAAUGCCCGACUUUUGGGAAGGGUUGCAUUUAUUAGAUACAAAGCCAACCCGAGGUUCGCUUCGGAACUGUUGGUGAUUCAUAAUAACUAAGCGAAUCGCAUAGGCUUGCCUGGCGAUGGAUCUUUCAAGUUUCUGACCUAUCAGCUAUCGACGGUAGGGUAUUGGCCUACCGUGGCUUUGACGGGUAACGGAGAAUUAGGGUUCGAUUCCGGAGAGGGAGCCUGAGAAACGGCUACCACAUCUAAGGAUGGCAGCAGGCGCGCAAAUUACCCAAUCCUGACACAGGGAGGUAGUGACAAGAAAUAACAAUACAGGGCUUCACAGUCUUGUAAUUGGAAUGAGUAGACUUUAAAUCUCUCUACGAGUAACAAUUGGAGGGCAAGUCUGGUGCCAGCAGCCGCGGUAAUUCCAGCUCCAAUAGCGUAUAUUAAUGUUGUUGCGGUUAAAAAGCUCGUAGUUGAAUCUCUGAUCGGGAUGACCUCCUCACCUUAGGGCGAUGGUAGCUGUUGACCUGAUCAUCCUCCUAGAACACGAUGUCUCUUAACCGGGUCAUUCGUGCUAGGACUAUUACUUUGAGGAAAUUAGAGUGUUCCAAGCAGGCAUUUGCCCUGUAUACAUUAGCAUGGAAUAAUAAUAUAGGACUUCGGUUCUAUUUUAUUGGUUCU